This 200-nucleotide microRNA precursor is filed under the name Hordeum vulgare subsp. vulgare (domesticated barley). RNAcentral's name for it is "MIR1435 microRNA precursor family". It matches the Rfam family "MIR1435 microRNA precursor family". The record is from Rfam by way of RNAcentral. Lineage: Eukaryota; Viridiplantae; Streptophyta; Magnoliopsida; Poales; Poaceae.
UAGGUUUGUAUUAAGUCAAACUUCUUUAAGUUUGACCAUGCAUAUAUAAAAAGAUCUUAAUAUCUACAACAUCAAAUAUAUAUAGUAUGAAAAAAUAUUUUAUGAUGAAUCUAACAAAACUAAUUUGGUGUUGUAAAUGUUGGUAUAUUUUACAAUAGACUUGGUCAAACUUAAAGAUGUUUGACUUAAGACAAACCUAG